AUUCGGUUGAAUAGCCAAUCAUUUCAAAUCAAGUUGAGCGGGUCUGCAUCGUGAUUUUGACGAAGUUUGAAACCAGUGGUAAUUUUUUGACACUUCAUCUAGAUUUAAGAAGAUUCUUGCCUGAACAACUGCUCGAACUCCCGGGUUGACAUGCUCUAAAGGUAUAGUGAAUUCAGUAUGCAGAUUAUUGAAGGGAAAACAUCAAGACAGGGCAAGGAAGACAACAAAACAUGAUUACCCAGAUUGAGGAUCCCAGUGUUCUUUGUCUCAAGCUACCCAGCCUACCAUGAGAAAAUUAAAAGAUCUGUCAUGAAGAAGAGGCUGGUUCUCAACUUUCAUAUUAUAAAUGGCA
Molecule: long non-coding RNA, 352 nt
Organism: Saccostrea cuccullata (small rock oyster)
Lineage: Eukaryota; Metazoa; Mollusca; Bivalvia; Ostreida; Ostreidae
Exons: 3
Source: RefSeq, a predicted model, not a curated record